UACGAAGGGGGCUAGCGUUGUUCGGAAUGACUGGGCGUAAAGGGCGCGUAGGCGGCGCAUCAAGUCGGGCGUGAAAGCCCCGGGCUCAACCUGGGAACUGCGUUCGAGACUGGUGUGCUAGAGUUCGGGAGAGGAGAGUGGAAUUCCCAGUGUAGAGGUGAAAUUCGUAGAUAUUGGGAAGAACACCAAUGGCGAAGGCAGCUCUCUGGACCGAUACUGACGCUGAGGCGCGAAAGCGUGGGGAGCAAAC
This 250-nucleotide ribosomal RNA is filed under the name uncultured bacterium. RNAcentral's name for it is "partial 16S ribosomal RNA". It matches the Rfam family "Bacterial small subunit ribosomal RNA", at positions 524 to 773 of the family's 1533-position model. The record is from RNAcentral.